This 414-nucleotide ribosomal RNA is filed under the name uncultured Gammaproteobacteria bacterium. Its description in RNAcentral is "bacterial SSU rRNA". It matches the Rfam family "Bacterial small subunit ribosomal RNA", at positions 9 to 419 of the family's 1533-position model. The record is from RNAcentral. Lineage: Bacteria; Pseudomonadati; Pseudomonadota; Gammaproteobacteria.
GAGUUUGAUCGUGGCUCAGAUUGAACGCUGGCGGCAUGCCUAACACAUGCAAGUCGAACGGCAGCGCGUUUGGGGUAACUCAAAUGGCGGCGAGUGGCGGACGGGUGAGUAAUAUGUAGGAAUCUGCCUUGAGGAGGGGGAUAACUUGGGGAAACUCAAGCUAAUACCACAUAAGACCUAAGGGUGAAAGCAGGGGAUCGAAAGACCUUGCGCCUUAAGAUGAGCCUACAUUGGAUUAGCUUGUUGGGGAGGUAAAGGCUCACCAAGGCGACGAUCCAUAGCUGGUCUGAGAGGAUGACCAGCCACACUGGGACUGAGACACGGCCCAGACUCCUACGGGAGGCAGCAGUGGGGAAUAUUGGACAAUGGGGGAAACCCUGAUCCAGCAAUGCCGCGUGUGUGAAGAAGGCCUUC